This 301-nucleotide ribosomal RNA is filed under the name uncultured bacterium. RNAcentral's name for it is "partial 16S ribosomal RNA". It matches the Rfam family "Archaeal small subunit ribosomal RNA", at positions 459 to 759 of the family's 1478-position model. The record is from RNAcentral.
CAGCAGCCGCGGGAAUACCAGCAGCCCAAGUGGUGGUCGCGAUUAUUGGGCCUAAAGCGCUCGUAGCCGGGCCGGUAAGUCCCUUGUGAAAUCGGACGGCCUAACCGUUCGGCGUGCAAGGGAUACUGUCGGUCUUGAGGCCGGGAGACGUCCGAGGUACUCCGGGGGUAGCGGUGAAAUGUUCUGAUCCUCGGGGGACCACCGGUGGCGAAGGCGUUCGACGAGAACGGGCCUGACGGUGAGGGGCGAAGGCUAGGGGAGCAAACGGGAUUAGAGACCCCAGUAGUCCCUGUCUCUUAUU